Non-coding RNA from Nycticebus coucang (slow loris), 802 nucleotides. Lineage: Eukaryota; Metazoa; Chordata; Mammalia; Primates; Lorisidae. The record is from the annotation of a RefSeq genome assembly.
GCAGGGCGAGAGCAGCACAUUUGCAUGCUGGGGCCCUCUGUCUCCUCUGGGGCUGGAGGGGGGAUAAGAGACACCUGCAGAGUGUCGGCCUCAGCAGAGCUCUGGGUGUCUGCACCAUGGCCUGGACUCCACUCCUCCUCACCCUCCUCCUUCACUGCACAGGGUCCCUCUCCCAGCUUGCACUGACUCAGCCGCCCUCUGCGUCUGCCUCCCUGGGAGCCUCGGUCAAGCUCACCUGCACCCUGGACAGUGGGCACAGCAGCUACACCAUUGCAUGGCACCAGCAGCAGCCAGGGAAGGCCCCUCGGUACUUGAUGUAUGUUAACAGUGCUGGAAGCGGCAGCAAAGGGGACGGGAUCCCUGACCGCUUCUCAGGCUCCAGCUCUGGGGCUGACCGCUACUUGACCAUCUCCAACCUCCAGUCUGAGGAUGAGGCUGAUUAUUACUGUCAGACCGGGGACGCUGGUAUUAACUCACAGUGACACAGGCAGAUGAGGAAGUGGGACAAAAACCUCAGCCUGCUCAGGGUCUUGUUCUAUGUUAAUUUUCAGAUUUUAAAAUAAGUUCCAUGUAGUCAAACAGUACUUGGGAGCUCCUCUCAUUUAAAACAUAUCAAAAAUCGUCAAGGAUUUUACCACCCCCAAAAAAAAAAUUAAAAAAAAAAACCAACUAGAACUAGUAAACAAAUUGAGUGCAGGUCAAGGACAUAAUUCAUAUGCAAAAUGAAAUUAUAUUUCUGUAUGCUAGCAGUAAACAUUUGAAAAAUGUAAUAAAAAUGUGAUUGCAAUUUAAAUAUUAUUAA